AAUUAUUUUACUCUUUGAAAUUUUAUUUUUAAUUGCAUACCUAUGUAAUUACUUACAAAAAAU
Molecule: small RNA, 63 nt
Filed under: Arabidopsis thaliana (thale cress)
Lineage: Eukaryota; Viridiplantae; Streptophyta; Magnoliopsida; Brassicales; Brassicaceae
Description: ATSL196220
Source: RNAcentral